Long non-coding RNA from Astatotilapia calliptera (eastern happy), 751 nucleotides. The record is from Ensembl. Lineage: Eukaryota; Metazoa; Chordata; Actinopteri; Cichliformes; Cichlidae.
CAGGGCUUCAUAUAUCAUCCAAGGCCUGUAUAACAGAACAUUCUACUGCUAAAAACACACCUGCUGACGGUGUUUUCCUCGACAAACCCCCUCUGUAGAAACGUUUGAUCCUAACGUCCCGACAAAAUAAAAGCAAAUGCUGAAAUCUGCAUUUGUGGAAAAGGUGAAACAAAGAAUUCAUCAUAAAGUAAGACUUUACCGUUCACCUGUAGCGUCUCUGCUUAAUCAUUCGUGUCAGCUUAGUUGGUUGCUGAGAAAGAAACCUGAGCCUGAUCACAGAUUACCAUCACCGAAUGAGCACUAGUGACACUCAGUGGAUUAUCCAGGAACAGCCAGUCCUAAAACGUGAGCUCCAAUUAUCCUUCUAGAUCAGGGGUAUCAAACAUGCAGCCCAGGGGCCAAAUCCCGGCCCGUCAAAGGAUCCCCCUGCCCCACUGUGCGGCUUCAGAAGGUUUUGUACUUUUGUACAUCAGCUGUGAUCCCUAGAUUUUAACACACGUGCAAUGACAGUAGCUCAUGACUGUUGGAAAAACAGACCUGCAGCAGGCAGCGGAGACCACUCACUGAAAAGGAGGAAUCUAUGGAUGGUAAAAUGGUAAAUGGCCUGUAUUUGUAUAGCGCUUUACUCGUCCCUAAGGACCCCAAAGCGCUUUACAUAUCCAGUCAUCCACCCAUUCACACACACAUUCACACACUUGUGAUGGCAGCUACAUUGUAGCCACAGCCACCCUGGGGCGCACUGACAGAGGCG